AGCCAGACUCCUACGGGAGGCAGCAGUGGGGAAUAUUGCACAAUGGGGGAAACCCUGAUGCAGCGACGCCGCGUGAGUGAAGAAGUAUUUCGGUAUGUAAAGCUCUAUCAGCAGGGAAGAAGAAAGACGGUACCUGACUAAGAAGCCCCGGCUAACUACGUGCCAGCAGCCGCGGUAAUACGUAGGGGGCAAGCGUUAUCCGGAAUUACUGGGUGUAAAGGGAGCGUAGACGGCAAUGCAAGUCCGGAGUGGAAUGCGGCAGCUCAACUGCCGAACUGCUCUGGAAACUGUAUGGCUUGAGUGCAGGAGGGGUAAGCGGAAUUCCUGGUGUAGCGGUGAAAUGCGUAGAUAUCACGCAGAACCCCGAUUGCGAAGGCAGCCUUCCGGCGCCCUACUGACGCUGAGGCACGAAAGUGCGGGGAUCGAACAGGAUUAGAUACCCCAGUACU
This 449-nucleotide ribosomal RNA is filed under the name uncultured bacterium. RNAcentral describes it as "bacterial SSU rRNA". It matches the Rfam family "Bacterial small subunit ribosomal RNA", at positions 329 to 794 of the family's 1533-position model. The record is from RNAcentral.